CCUACGGGAGGCAGCAGUGGGGAAUUUUGGACAAUGGGCGCAAGCCUGAUCCAGCAAUGCCGCGUGCAGGAUGAAGGCCUUCGGGUUGUAAACUGCUUUUGUACGGAACGAAACGGUCUGCUUUAAUACAGUGGGCUAAUGACGGUACCGUAAGAAUAAGCACCGGCUAACUACGUGCCAGCAGCCGCGGUAAUACGUAGGGUGCGAGCGUUAAUCGGAAUUACUGGGCGUAAAGCGUGCGCAGGCGGUUAUAUAAGACAGAUGUGAAAUCCCCGGGCUCAACCUGGGACCUGCAUUUGUGACUGUGUAGCUAGAGUACGGUAGAGGGGGAUGGAAUUCCGCGUGUAGCAGUGAAAUGCGUAGAUAUGCGGAGGAACACCGAUGGCGAAGGCAAUCCCCUGGACCUGUACUGACGCUCAUGCACGAAAGCGUGGGGAGCAAACAGGAUUAGAUACCCUGGUAGUCCACGCCCUAAACGAUGUCAACUGGUUGUUGGGUCUUCACUGACUCAGUAACGAAGCUAACGCGUGAAGUUGACCGCCUGGGGAGUACGGCCGCAAGGUCGAAACUCAAAGGAUUGACGG
Molecule: ribosomal RNA, 584 nt
Filed under: uncultured bacterium
Lineage: Bacteria
Description: bacterial SSU rRNA
Rfam family: Bacterial small subunit ribosomal RNA
Source: RNAcentral